AUUGUAGUGAAAUAUGAAGAAACCAGAGUUCAAAGAAGAGUAUAAACAAAUAUGGUGGUGAUGUUGCUCAACUGGCAAUUUCUCUUAUCAACAGACUAUAUGGACUGAUAGCUGAAGAACGUAGUAGGGGUAAAACAAACAAGCAGGUAGCAGCAAACUCUUACAUUCUUAUUUUCCAGCCACCAUACCAGCCUUAAUAACAGUUCAGAGAAAAGCUGGGAAGCACUAACUGAAGAAGGCACACGCUACAUUCUCGUUGAGAACUCGCACAAGGCUCCUCUCCAGAUUCAGGACUACAGUAUACCAAAGAUAACUUCCUUCAAUUUCUGAGUGAAGCGUGAAUUUAACUUCAUUUUCAGAGAUACACAUCUGCUGAGCAAAUACAUUUAACAGAGUAAACUGCAAGUCGAAUCAAAGAUGCAGAACUGUUUCUGAGUAAACAAGUUGACAGAGGAAAGGUCAGAUCACUAAAGAAUAAACCUGCUGAGAUUCUUUCCUGUAACUGAGAUUCAGCAGAGAGGUUUAUAUCUUGGGACUGAAGAAAUACACAAUCAAAGACAAGAAAUCAGACAAGAAUCUCAUUUGCAUGUUCUCAAAGACAACAUGAUAUUCUGCUUCCUGUGGCUUUUAAAUGGUGCAAAGUUAACCUUAGCUGUCCCUGCAAAAAUAUUUCACUUGCAUUUUCAAGUUGCCAGAACUUCCUUGCAACAGAACAAGCACAUUUGAAAUACACUUCACAGAUGGAUGAAGCAACAGAAAAUUCUCCUGCCUCCCUUUUGCUAAGACUUCAAAAAAUAUCACUUUCCUGGGGAGAUCCAGAAACCACUCGAACUUACCUCACUGCAGCAUUUGCAUUGAAGAUAUUAUUGUAUUCUAUUCUAAAUAUCACGUGAAUACGAGACCUGGAGCUAUACAAGAAUUUCUCCUUUUUUUCCUUUUUCAAUCUCAUUAGCAUUGCCUCUACCAUCUCUCAGGGGGGCUACCCUAGUUCUCUCAGGUCAGCUUCAACUCUUCUCCUUCUUACAACGCUUCACUUUGAGCAAGAGAAUUAACAACAGUAGUUAUUCUCCACAUUAUAAAAUAACUGGUCAUGUCACAUUUAAACAUGUUGUUUGAUUUUCCCAUUGCGCAAAAUUACUGGGUAAAUGGGAGGGAAAAAGGGAGGCAUCACUGCUGAAUUGUCAUGCAUGUGCUAAAAAACCCUCAUGAUUGUAAGACCCAACAGGUUUUCUUUCUGCUGAACUGGGACCUAUUUAAAGCAAAAUGAUACAUUUAAAAUGAUUUCCUAGUGGAUUCAAUUAGAGAAAUAAAUUAAUGACUGCUAUUAAAUAAAACA
Long non-coding RNA from Zonotrichia albicollis (white-throated sparrow), 1336 nucleotides. Lineage: Eukaryota; Metazoa; Chordata; Aves; Passeriformes; Passerellidae. The record is from Ensembl.